RNAcentral lists this ribosomal RNA (2789 nucleotides) under Salmonella enterica subsp. enterica serovar Chester. RNAcentral describes it as "partial 23S ribosomal RNA". It matches the Rfam family "Bacterial large subunit ribosomal RNA". Lineage: Bacteria; Pseudomonadati; Pseudomonadota; Gammaproteobacteria; Enterobacterales; Enterobacteriaceae. The record is from RNAcentral.
GGGUUGUGAGGUUAAGCGACUAAGCGUACACGGUGGAUGCCCUGGCAGUCAGAGGCGAUGAAGGGCGUGCUAAUCUGCGAUAAGCGCCGGUAAGGUGAUAUGAACCGUUAUAACCGGCGAUACCCGAAUGGGGAAACCCAGUGUGACUCGUCACACUAUCAUUAACUGAAUCCAUAGGUUAAUGAGGCGAACCGGGGGAACUGAAACAUCUAAGUACCCCGAGGAAAAGAAAUCAACCGAGAUUCCCCCAGUAGCGGCGAGCGAACGGGGAGGAGCCCAGAGCCUGAAUCAGCAUGUGUGUUAGUGGAAGCGUCUGGAAAGGCGCGCGAUACAGGGUGACAGCCCCGUACACAAAAGCGCAUGUGCUGUGAGCUCGAUGAGUAGGGCGGGACACGUGGUAUCCUGUCUGAAUAUGGGGGGACCAUCCUCCAAGGCUAAAUACUCCUGACUGACCGAUAGUGAACCAGUACCGUGAGGGAAAGGCGAAAAGAACCCCGGCGAGGGGAGUGAAAAAGAACCUGAAACCGUGUACGUACAAGCAGUGGGAGCACAGGUUUACCUGUGUGACUGCGUACCUUUUGUAUAAUGGGUCAGCGACUUAUAUUCUGUAGCAAGGUUAACCGAAUAGGGGAGCCGGAGGGAAACCGAGUCUUAAUUGGGCGUUAAGUUGCAGGGUAUAGACCCGAAACCCGGUGAUCUAGCCAUGGGCAGGUUGAAGGUUGGGUAACACUAACUGGAGGACCGAACCGACUAAUGUUGAAAAAUUAGCGGAUGACCUGUGGCUGGGGGUGAAAGGCCAAUCAAACCGGGAGAUAGCUGGUUCUCCCCGAAAGCUAUUUAGGUAGCGCCUCGUGAAUUCAUCUCCGGGGGUAGAGCACUGUUUCGGCUAGGGGGCCAUCCCGGCUUACCAACCCGAUGCAAACUGCGAAUACCGGAGAAUGUUAUCACGGGAGACACACGGCGGGUGCUAACGUCCGUCGUGAAGAGGGAAACAACCCAGACCGCCAGCUAAGGUCCCAAAGUCAUGGUUAAGUGGGAAACGAUGUGGGAAGGCCCAGACAGCCAGGAUGUUGGCUUAGAAGCAGCCAUCAUUUAAAGAAAGCGUAAUAGCUCACUGGUCGAGUCGGCCUGCGCGGAAGAUGUAACGGGGCUAAACCAUGCACCGAAGCUGCGGCAGCGACGCUGAUGCGUUGUUGGGUAGGGGAGCGUUCUGUAAGCCUGCGAAGGUGGCCUGUGAGGGUUGCUGGAGGUAUCAGAAGUGCGAAUGCUGACAUAAGUAACGAUAAAGCGGGUGAAAAGCCCGCUCGCCGGAAGACCAAGGGUUCCUGUCCAACGUUAAUCGGGGCAGGGUGAGUCGACCCCUAAGGCGAGGCCGAAAGGCGUAGUCGAUGGGAAACGGGUUAAUAUUCCCGUACUUGGUGUUACUGCGAAGGGGGGACGGAGAAGGCUAUGUUGGCCGGGCGACGGUUGUCCCGGUUUAAGCGUGUAGGUGUGUGUUCCAGGUAAAUCCGGUUCACUUUAACACUGAGGCGUGAUGACGAGGCACUACGGUGCUGAAGCAACAAAUGCCCUGCUUCCAGGAAAAGCCUCUAAGCAUCAGGUAACAUCAAAUCGUACCCCAAACCGACACAGGUGGUCAGGUAGAGAAUACCAAGGCGCUUGAGAGAACUCGGGUGAAGGAACUAGGCAAAAUGGUGCCGUAACUUCGGGAGAAGGCACGCUGACACGUAGGUGAAGUGAUUUACUCAUGGAGCUGAAGUCAGUCGAAGAUACCAGCUGGCUGCAACUGUUUAUUAAAAACACAGCACUGUGCAAACACGAAAGUGGACGUAUACGGUGUGACGCCUGCCCGGUGCCGGAAGGUUAAUUGAUGGGGUCAGCGCAAGCGAAGCUCCUGAUCGAAGCCCCGGUAAACGGCGGCCGUAACUAUAACGGUCCUAAGGUAGCGAAAUUCCUUGUCGGGUAAGUUCCGACCUGCACGAAUGGCGUAAUGAUGGCCAGGCUGUCUCCACCCGAGACUCAGUGAAAUUGAACUCGCUGUGAAGAUGCAGUGUACCCGCGGCAAGACGGAAAGACCCCGUGAACCUUUACUAUAGCUUGACACUGAACAUUGAGCCUUGAUGUGUAGGAUAGGUGGGAGGCUUUGAAGUGUGGACGCCAGUCUGCAUGGAGCCGACCUUGAAAUACCACCCUUUAAUGUUUGAUGUUCUAACGUGGACCCGUGAUCCGGGUUGCGGACAGUGUCUGGUGGGUAGUUUGACUGGGGCGGUCUCCUCCUAAAGAGUAACGGAGGAGCACGAAGGUUGGCUAAUCCUGGUCGGACAUCAGGAGGUUAGUGCAAUGGCAUAAGCCAGCUUGACUGCGAGCGUGACGGCGCGAGCAGGUGCGAAAGCAGGUCAUAGUGAUCCGGUGGUUCUGAAUGGAAGGGCCAUCGCUCAACGGAUAAAAGGUACUCCGGGGAUAACAGGCUGAUACCGCCCAAGAGUUCAUAUCGACGGCGGUGUUUGGCACCUCGAUGUCGGCUCAUCACAUCCUGGGGCUGAAGUAGGUCCCAAGGGUAUGGCUGUUCGCCAUUUAAAGUGGUACGCGAGCUGGGUUUAGAACGUCGUGAGACAGUUCGGUCCCUAUCUGCCGUGGGCGCUGGAGAACUGAGGGGGGCUGCUCCUAGUACGAGAGGACCGGAGUGGACGCAUCACUGGUGUUCGGGUUGUCAUGCCAAUGGCACUGCCCGGUAGCUAAAUGCGGAAGAGAUAAGUGCUGAAAGCAUCUAAGCACGAAACUUGCCCCGA